RNAcentral lists this transfer RNA (77 nucleotides) under Burkholderia multivorans. RNAcentral describes it as "tRNA-Pro". It matches the Rfam family "tRNA". Rfam says of the family: Transfer RNA (tRNA) molecules are approximately 80 nucleotides in length. Their secondary structure includes four short double-helical elements and three loops (D, anti-codon, and T loops). The record is from RNAcentral. Lineage: Bacteria; Pseudomonadati; Pseudomonadota; Betaproteobacteria; Burkholderiales; Burkholderiaceae. RNAcentral also lists the same sequence under 1 other name.
CUCCGAGUAGCUCAGUCUGGUAGAGCGCCGCGUUCGGGACGCGGAGGUCGCAGGUUCGAACCCUGUCUCGGAGACCA